UACAGAGGGUGCGAGCGUUAAUCGGAGUUACUGGGCGUAAAGGGCGCGUAGGCGGCCAUUCAAGUCGGGGGUGAAAGCCUGUGGCUCAACCACAGAAUUGCCUUCGAUACUGUUUGGCUUGAGUAUGGCAGAGGUUAGUGGAACUGCGAGUGUAGAGGUGAAAUUCGUAGAUAUUCGCAAGAACACCAGUGGCGAAGGCGGCUAACUGGGCCAUUACUGACGCUGAGGCGCGAAAGCGUGGGGAGCAAACAGG
Molecule: ribosomal RNA, 253 nt
Filed under: uncultured bacterium
Lineage: Bacteria
Description: partial 16S ribosomal RNA
Rfam family: Bacterial small subunit ribosomal RNA
Source: RNAcentral